UGGGGAAUAUUGGACAAUGGGCGAAAGCCUGAUCCAGCCAUGCCGCGUGUGUGAAGAAGGUCUUCGGAUUGUAAAGCACUUUAAGUUGGGAGGAAGGGCAGUAAAUUAAUACUUUGCUGUUUUGACGUUACCGACAGAAUAAGCACCGGCUAACUCUGUGCCAGCAGCCGCGGUAAUACAGAGGGUGCAAGCGUUAAUCGGAAUUACUGGGCGUAAAGCGCGCGUAGGUGGUUCGUUAAGUUGGAUGUGAAAUCCCCGGGCUCAACCUGGGAACUGCAUUCAAAACUGACGAGCUAGAGUAUGGUAGAGGGUGGUGGAAUUUCCUGUGUAGCGGUGAAAUGCGUAGAUAUAGGAAGGAACACCAGUGGCGAAGGCGACCACCUGGACUGAUACUGACACUGAGGUGCGAAAGCGUGGGGAGCAAACAGGAUUAGAUACCCGGGUAGUCC
Molecule: ribosomal RNA, 449 nt
Filed under: uncultured prokaryote
Description: bacterial SSU rRNA
Rfam family: Bacterial small subunit ribosomal RNA
Source: RNAcentral